This 74-nucleotide transfer RNA is filed under the name Candidatus Thiodiazotropha endolucinida. RNAcentral's name for it is "tRNA-Gly". It matches the Rfam family "tRNA". From Rfam's summary of the family: Transfer RNA (tRNA) molecules are approximately 80 nucleotides in length. Lineage: Bacteria; Pseudomonadati; Pseudomonadota; Gammaproteobacteria; Chromatiales; Sedimenticolaceae. The record is from RNAcentral. RNAcentral also lists the same sequence under 2 other names.
GCGGGUGUAGCUCAAUGGCAGAGCAGCAGCCUUCCAAGCUGAGGAUUCGAGUUCAAUUCUCGGGACCCGCUCCA